AUCUGGUAUAUCUACAAAAUCGACAAACAAUGAUCCGUGUAUUCAAGCCCAUGUUUGGUUUGCGCCUGGCUGGUGCUAUUGGCCAACAUAAUCCAAAAACAAUGAUGAACAUCAGAAAUUAUGGCAAGCCCGAGCGUUUUAUGUGGUGCCAAACGAAAGUCAGCAAAGUACCCAAAGCCAUUUUGGCGGACGGAAAAGAAAUGCCACUGAUUGGACUUGGAACUUGGUUGAGCCCCAAAGGUCAGGUGACUGAAGCUGUGAAAGUGGCCAUUGACGCUGGGUACCGGCACAUUGACUGUGCCCACGUCUACCAGAACGAAGAUGAGGUCGGUGCUGGCAUCGAAGCUAAGAUCAAGGAGGGAGUUGUGAAGCGAGAGGAGCUGUUCAUUACCAGCAAGCUGUGGAAUACUUUCCACCGUCCGGACUUGGUCCGCAACGCCUGUGAGAACACAUUGGAAGCGUUAAAAUUGAAGUACAUCGACUUGUACUUGAUCCACUGGCCAAUGGGCUACAAGGAGGGCUGCGACCUCUUCCCAGCCGAUAAGGAAGGCAAGACCUUGUUCUCGCCAGUCGACUAUGUAGAUACCUGGAAGGCAAUGGAGAAACUGGUGGAGGAUGGUCUCGUCAAGUCCAUUGGCGUCUCCAAUUUCAACAAGAAGCAGAUCCAGCGCGUCCUGGAUGUGGCCAAAAUCCCUCCGGCAACCAAUCAGAUUGAGUGCCACCCGUAUCUGACACAAAAGAAGCUCAUUGAUUUCUGUAAGUCUCGCGAUAUUACUAUUACCGCAUACAGUCCACUGGGAUCGCCCAACCGUCCCUGGGCCAAGUCUGGCGAUCCAGUGAUUCUAGAGGAGCCUAAGAUUAAGGAGAUUGCUGAAAAGAAGAAGAAGACACCUGGACAGAUUCUCAUCCGCUACCAGGUCCAGCGCGCAAACAUCGUUAUUCCCAAGUCAGUGACCAAGGAGCGCAUCGAGUCGAACUUCCAGGUCUUUGAUUUCGUUUUGACCCCUGAAGAAAUCGAAAUAAUCGAAAGCUUCGAUUGCAAUGGUCGUCUUGUGCCUUUGCUCAAAGAGGCUGGUUGUCAUAAAUACUACCCAUUUCACGACGAGUUUUAAGCGAAAUGAAACCAAUGUCAACAGAAAAUAAAAAAAAAAUACUUAUUAUGAAAUAAUACACAUUGAAACCAAAUAAUAUUGCAAGACUAACAACGAUCGACAUUCAAGGCAAAUCUUUGUAAACAGAUAUCUGGUGUAUGCCGUUUACGGACAUCCCCACCAUCCCUUUGAGAAUGAUGAAUACUAGUUGGCAAGAGGUGCCGACCCAGUGCUACACUUUUAAAAUUUAAUUUGUUACACAAACACCUAAUGUUAAACCGUAUGAAUAAAUAAUCACAAUUGGAACUA
This is an RNA transcript of Drosophila pseudoobscura, 1400 nucleotides long. It is a transcript of the gene named Aldo-keto reductase 1B, with no coding region annotated. Lineage: Eukaryota; Metazoa; Arthropoda; Insecta; Diptera; Drosophilidae. The record is from RefSeq and is a predicted model, not a curated record. The transcript has 7 exons.